GAGGGUAUAGCUCAGUGUAGAGUGCAUGCUUAGCAUGCACAAGGUCCUGGGUUCAAUCCCCAGUAACUCCG
RNAcentral lists this transfer RNA (71 nucleotides) under Camelus ferus (Wild Bactrian camel). It matches the Rfam family "tRNA". Rfam says of the family: Transfer RNA (tRNA) molecules are approximately 80 nucleotides in length. Their secondary structure includes four short double-helical elements and three loops (D, anti-codon, and T loops). Further hydrogen bonds mediate the characteristic L-shaped molecular structure. tRNAs have two regions of fundamental functional importance: the anti-codon, which is responsible for specific mRNA codon recognition, and the 3' end, to which the tRNAs corresponding amino acid is attached (by aminoacyl-tRNA synthetases). tRNAs cope with the degeneracy of the genetic code in two manners: having more than one tRNA (with a specific anti-codon) for a particular amino acid; and 'wobble' base-pairing, i.e. permitting non-standard base-pairing at the 3rd anti-codon position. The record is from Rfam by way of RNAcentral. Lineage: Eukaryota; Metazoa; Chordata; Mammalia; Artiodactyla; Camelidae.